AUGAGUAUAAGUUAAUGGUUAAACUAAAUGUCUUCCACACAUUCCAUGUGAGUUCGAUUCUCACUACUCAUA
This 72-nucleotide transfer RNA is filed under the name Wickerhamomyces canadensis. RNAcentral describes it as "Gly tRNA". It matches the Rfam family "tRNA". From Rfam's summary of the family: Transfer RNA (tRNA) molecules are approximately 80 nucleotides in length. Their secondary structure includes four short double-helical elements and three loops (D, anti-codon, and T loops). The record is from RNAcentral. Lineage: Eukaryota; Fungi; Ascomycota; Saccharomycetes; Phaffomycetales; Wickerhamomycetaceae.